Long non-coding RNA from Spinacia oleracea (spinach), 654 nucleotides. RefSeq lists it as uncharacterized. The transcript has 4 exons. NCBI's taxonomy places the organism in Eukaryota, Viridiplantae, Streptophyta, Magnoliopsida, Caryophyllales, Amaranthaceae. The record is from RefSeq and is a predicted model, not a curated record.
CAUACAAACUUCAAGUUACUAUUGCAGCAAUAGUGUGCUGCCAAAUUUACCCCCACCUAUAUCUCUUUAUUACUCAUUUGCCAUUCUUGCUAGAUUGUGCCACGUACACCCUUCUCUACGGAUCAUCCCACGCUCCCUCCUCCAGUCCUCCCUGCUUCCCUUCUUCAGUUCUUCUUUCUUUCACCCCUGAUUCUUGGAUGAUUUUUCGGCAAACCCUACCUUCUCACUCCAAUCUCCACCGCCACCGUUUUCUCUCUCCUCUCUGUUCUUCUUCCUCUCUCCUUCAUUGCUCUGCCCUACUCCUCUCUGAUGCGCGCUCUCUCGUCGCGGCAAGAAUGAAGUACGAAAGGAAUGGAACCUGAGAAGUAAUUCCAUGGCGAGCUCUUCACCCCCGUGAAAGGUAUCAAAGAUAGAAAGAUAAAUGAGGCAUCUGUUGUAGCAUUAAAUGCCGAGAAUUUGCAGAAAUACUCAAUUUAUUAUCACAGCUUCCUUCUUGAAUACAAGUUAUGGAGAUUUUGUGCGAAUUGAAGACAGUAAUGAUUCAAUGAAUGGUGACAUUAAGUUAAUUCAAAAUAUCAUGACCGAAUCAUUCAACCGCUCCUCUAAAAUUCUACGGAGUACUGCAUAAGGCGAGAGACAGAGAGAUGAGGGGGA